AACGAACGCUGGCGGCAUGCCUAACACAUGCAAGUCGAACGAGACCUUCGGGUCUAGUGGCGCACGGGUGCGUAACGCGUGGGAACCUGCCCUUAGGUUCGGAAUAACUCCCCGAAAGGGGUGCUAAUACCGGAUAAUGUCUUCGGACCAAAGAUUUAUCGCCUUUGGAUGGGCCCGCGUUGGAUUAGCUAGUUGGUAGGGUAAAAGCCUACCAAGGCGACGAUCCAUAGCUGGUCUGAGAGGAUGAUCAGCCACACUGGGACUGAGACACGGCCCAGACUCCUACGGGAGGGAGCAGUGGGGAAUAUUGGACAAUGGGCGAAAGCCUGAUCCAGCAAUGCCGCGUGAGUGAUGAAGGCCUUAGGGUUGUAAAGCUCUUUUACCCGGGAUGAUAAUGACAGUACCGGGAGAAUAAGCUCCGGCUAACUCCGCG
This 433-nucleotide ribosomal RNA is filed under the name uncultured bacterium. RNAcentral describes it as "partial 16S ribosomal RNA". It matches the Rfam family "Bacterial small subunit ribosomal RNA", at positions 29 to 507 of the family's 1533-position model. The record is from RNAcentral.